Molecule: long non-coding RNA, 1434 nt
Filed under: Macaca mulatta (Rhesus monkey)
Lineage: Eukaryota; Metazoa; Chordata; Mammalia; Primates; Cercopithecidae
Description: lncRNA (ENSMMUG00000064039.1)
Source: RNAcentral
CAGGCCUAUUAAGUUAAUAGGAAACUCAAGGGUGCAGGCAGCGUAGAUGUGGAGGUGAGGCAAGGCUUGACAUCUGCAGCAUUGAACUCCAGAGAAUCUCCUUUCAAAUUGUCAGAAAUCAUAAACAUGAUAAUAGCAGCAAUCAUUUAUUAAUCCCCUGCCCUGUGCCAACCCCUGUCCUGAGCUCUUCUUUGUGCAACCAUCCCAACAGGGCUACCAAGUGGGGACUGUGUGAAUCCCUUUUUCACACAUGAAGACUCCAACAGACAAGUGGAUCUCAGCCCAAGGCCUCAAGAAGCGCCAGGCAUCAGGCCACAUUCAUUUGUCUUCAGAGCCUGCAAGCUUCAUCAUCACGCUGAGCACACCGAGCCCUCUCCAGAGAGACAGAGAAACUUGGAGGGAGAUAUUGAAAUCCAAGGACACUAGACACCACAAGACAGCCACUUUGGAGAAUGAGACAGAGACCCCAAAAGAAAGGUAGGUCUCUGGGUAGUACUGGGAUCCCAGGCCAGUCUGGAAACCAGAGGAAUUUACAAGACCUCAGACGCAGGCACCCAAGUAAGCACAGGUUUCCUGGGUCAACCCAGAGUUUUCUGCCAUCUGAUAAGUGAGGAAAUACAAGAGCAGGUAAAACUCAAGAGGACCGGUUAGGCACCAGGGCCUUGAGGAAGCCAACCAGCAGGUGGCUGGGUUCAGACACACAGUUAACGUUGAGUGGCAGGAGGAGUGUGCAUUCUGUGCAGCUGAGCAGGAGCUGAAACUGAGGCACAAGGCCAGUGCAGUCCUAGCAAGACUGACUUGCUUUUGAGUCCCAUAGCAAUGAUCUGGAGCUGCUCAUUAGUCUAUUCUGUCACAAGUCAGGACUGACCAAGAGCCCUUAUUGACAUGGCUUAGAACCUACCAGGGAGCUGGUUAAACACACAAAUGUCCUCUCCCCAUGCUAUGAGAUUCCAAAACUGUAGACUGAAGUUAGGAAAUCUCCAUUCUGACUCACAACAAAGUUUGGAAAUCACUAUCCCAUAUACUGGGACUGAGCUUAUCUUGCAGGUUAUGAAGAGGCUUCAGCUGUUCAGGAGCCAGGGUCUGGCCAGGCUUGGCAUAUGGCCCAAAGCCCCUAAGGCAUGAGGAAGCUGGUAAACCCACAGCAUCUUCCAAGACAUUAAGGGGUUAAGAAAAGUGCUGGGGACCUGCAUACUUUUAUUACAUUAUAGGGAUGUUAUUGCAUUAUAAAUAAUGCCACAGGAUGCAUUAUUUAUACAUUUAAUAUCAGGCUUGCUUAUAAGUCAGAUCUCUUCACUUUUAGAUAAAUACUCAUCUGCAACCCACCUCCAGCAGCCAUGCACAGACAGGAAAGUGGAGAGGCACCACGCUCCUGCUCUCUCAGACAGCAGAGGGAGGGCAGACACAUGACAGAGACAGCAAAAAUCCUGUGAU